This 68-nucleotide transfer RNA is filed under the name Ptenothrix huangshanensis. RNAcentral describes it as "tRNA-Gln". The record is from RNAcentral. Lineage: Eukaryota; Metazoa; Arthropoda; Collembola; Symphypleona; Dicyrtomidae.
UUAUGUUUAUUUUACAUGAAUAUAAAAUUUUGAAUUUUAAGGAAACAGUGUGAUUCUGUUAACAUAAA